This is a long non-coding RNA of Cyprinus carpio (common carp), 515 nucleotides long. RefSeq lists it as uncharacterized. Lineage: Eukaryota; Metazoa; Chordata; Actinopteri; Cypriniformes; Cyprinidae. The transcript is spliced from 2 exons. The record is from RefSeq and is a predicted model, not a curated record.
AGAAUAACAAAAUUACUAAAACGUUUAAUAUAAAAAUCUUAUUUAAAAUAUUAAUAACUACUUGAAAGUAUACAAAUAAUACUAAAAUAACAUUUCUAUUUGUCUCUGCACAUUAAACUGGAAUAGUGAAAGUAUUUUAUUGCAACCAUCAUCUGCCUCACCUGUAAAGACAACAUAAAAUACAUUAUGAAUUAUGAAUUAUAAUACAUUAUGCAUAAAGGCUUCAAGUUAGGUGUUACCAAAAUUAAAAAUGCUAAGUAACUUACACUUUACUAUUAAUUACUGACCAGUAUAAGAGCUGUGGUCUGUAGCGGUCAGUGUUUGCUGUGUGUUUGUGACUGUAAGGCAGAGUAUCACGAGGACCCCUGCAAACAGAGGACAGACACAGCAACAGGAAGUGCCCUGCAGGGCUAUACUGCAGAUGAAGAGGCGGUUUUUCGUGCCCGCUGGGAACAGGCUUCACAGGAGACUAUAGCCAAAACCACUCACCCCUGCUCCAAAUGCCAAGUUCUGUG